Non-coding RNA from Physcomitrium patens, 2365 nucleotides. The record is from RefSeq and is a predicted model, not a curated record. Lineage: Eukaryota; Viridiplantae; Streptophyta; Bryopsida; Funariales; Funariaceae.
GUCUGUGUUAGAGUGUAGAGUUUUCUACGCUAUGCUAAAUCUGCCGCUGGAUGUUCAGACUGGCGUGGUUUGCAAGGUCGUGGGGAGCUGUUGACCUUGCUUCAUCUGUUGGGGAGGAUAUACGUGCUCGUGCUCCUGGUGUCCCGGGGGUCCUGUUGUCAGGUUGGGGGUGCGUUUGUGUGGUGUUCGCGAAGUUAGGUGUUGGAAGAUCAUUGUUUUCCAGAUCGGCCAUGAUCUUGGCAAGGAUUUCUUUGGCGAGGUUUCUUGCAAUCUUUGUCCUCUGGGUUGUCAAUUUUUGCGUUUGACGAUGGUCGGUGUGGGCUCCUGUAGGCACCGGAUAGUGUUUGAUCCAGGGAGGAGUUUGUGGACCGUUGCUGCAGUUGGUCUGUAGGGGCAGGUGCGUUAAGACCCUCCACGUCGCGUGUCGGGGGAUCGUCUUGUAUCUGGAUUGUUUUUAGUCUGUUGGCAAACUCUCUCGGGAGGAAGUCGCGGUGGAGGAGGAGUUUCCAGUUGGGGUGUGUUUGUCUCCAGCAGAAGACGUCGGCUUGGGUCCAAAUGGAUUGACCAUCCGAGGAUGUCCAUGAAGUGUGCUUGGAGAUUGAGCAUGGAGUUCCUACGUCCCAUUGUGUGGGAUCUUCCUGCUAAUUUUGGAUGGUCGUUGGUGCCAAGAGGGCCUGUGGAGGGCCAUGUGAGGGGAGGCAGCGUGGGUUUGACCAUUCGGCAAAUUGUCGCGUAUUUGGUCCAUGCGAUGGAGACCUGGGGCAGUUGAAGAAGACAUGCUCGGUUGUCUCUUGUUGCUGGCCCGGGAAUAAGUUACAAUGGCCAGGUUGAUUGAUCUUUGCUUGCCAUCCCUCGAUGGGGUGGCCCUCUGCUAUCAAGAGCCACACCAUUGCUGAUUUUUUCUUGGGUAGAUUAUGCUAGGGUGCUGCGAGGCCUCCGUUGGGUUGAACUCUUAGUGGACACUUGGGUAUCACUUGGGCUUCUCGGAGUGCAUCUAGAAGGACGUCCUCGUGGGGAGCCGUCAUUGUGAGGAGGAAGCCAGAAGUGGAGCAAAUCAACUCCAGUACUUCGAAUGAGCGUUGAAGGUUCUUGGGGGUGUCCCAGAGGUACAACGUUGUGUCGUCCGCAAAACAUUGAUCCCUCACCGUGGCGCCGUUUGGUAAGCGUAAUUCCUUGAUGUCAUAGUUCGGGUCGUUUAUCAUGUAGGAUAACACGUCCAAUAUAAACAAGUAUAGGUAGGGUGUGGGGAUAGUCCUAGCGCACCGACCGUUUAAUUGUGAAUUUGUCGCUCUUGUGUCCGUUUACCAAGAUUGCGGAUUGUUCGCCUUUGUAGAGUGUUGCGGUCCACUUUAUCCAUUCCUCCAAAAUCCCAGCUUAUGCAUUAUUUGUUGAAGGAAUGUCCAGUUAACUCUGUCGUAAGCUUUCUCAAAAUCCAAAAGGGGGAUCACUAAAUCCUGGUUGCUUUCUUUGGUCUAGUGGAUGGAUUCAUAGGUUUGUAGGACAUUGUCUAAAAUGUAGCGAUCUUUGACAAAGCCCGUUUGGGUGGGUCGAAUACAACUCGAGAGGACCGAUUGGAGGCGAUUGGUAAGUGUCUUUGCUGCCAUUCUGUACGUCGAAGAGAGCGUUGUGAUGGUCCAAUACUUGCGGAUGUUGGUGGUUGCUCCUCCUUUGGAUAUCAGGCUGAUGAGACCCAAGUUGAGAAUGUCGUAUAAGUGGUCGUUUCAAAAUGCUUCGUUGAGGCCAUCCGUGAGGUCGCUUUCAAUUGUCUCACAUUUUGGUCAAGAACUCUAUCGGGAUUGUGUCCUCUCCCGCUGCUUAAUAUUUGUGGAGAUCCUUGGUUGCCUGGUGGACUUUUGCUGGUGUGAUUAUCGUAGUGAGGUUGUUGUUUUGUUCGAGCGUGACCUUGGUGGGGACGUUGUUCAGAUAUUUGUCUAGGUCUUGUUGAUUGCUCUCCACCUCCGGAUCAUUGGUGUACAGGGUUUUGUAAUAGUGGUGUACGUGGAUAGAGAUUUUUGUUUAGGUUGUGAGGUUACGGCCUCCGUCUAUUAGUUCGUGGAUAUUCGCUUGCUUGUUCUUAUCUCUGUGGAAUUUAAAUAACUCCUUCGAUCACCUGUUGCCUACACAAGACCAUUUUGCUGCCGUCGAGUUCUUGGUGGCUUCUAGCUUGGCAAAGCGGGUCUCUCUCAAAAGUUGUGCUUGGUUGAGCCGUGUCCAGGCUUGGUUAUCCGUCCAAUCAAUUUGUAGGACCUUUUUGGCUUCUUUUACUUCCAAACUGGAUAUGCUAAAUUUUUUUAUGAAUCCUUGUUCUUUGCAAUGAAAAAGGGGCUCCACAGAGUGAGUGGAAUCUUUUGCCCUUCGAACUUGA